Molecule: RNA transcript, 1419 nt
Organism: Nicotiana attenuata
Lineage: Eukaryota; Viridiplantae; Streptophyta; Magnoliopsida; Solanales; Solanaceae
Gene name: A-kinase anchor protein 17A
Exons: 6
Source: RefSeq, a predicted model, not a curated record
AUCAUUUCAUGACUUUGACCUUAGAAUUAGAAGUACAAAACGCACAGCCGCAAGUCCAACUCAAAAUAUCUUCAAGUCUAGCUGAGCUGACCGAAAGCUGACCGGAGACCAUGAGCAAUAAACCGUUGAACACUCUCCGGCCAACCGAAACCCUAGAACUGGAAAGCGGACUCUCUCUAGUCCCACGUAUUAAGCUUCUCUUAACAGUCUACCGCGCCGACAAGUCUGUUUCUCCGAUCGACGAAUGGAAGUUCAAGCGAUCACUGAUCGAUUACAUAAAAUCCUCAUUCUCCAUCACUAUUUCCGAAGAAGACCUCGAAAUCCGGAAAUUCAAAGACCUCAACAAGCGCAAGCGUGAGGAACCGGUGGCUCGUGGCCGCCUUUUUGUUCAUGACUUAGGGUUUCUGUUGAAGGUGAUUGGUGAAACUGAGGAUGAUGUGGAGAGAGCUGAUAAGAAGUUUCUGGAAUGGAGGAGAGGGUUUGUGGAAAAGUUGGAUGGAAUUGAGUUGAGUUUGGAAGGUACUAAGUUUAAACUGGAUAUAGCUGUGCCGGUGUCUGAUGAUUUUGGAGGAAUGCGCAAGGAGUGGGAAGAGAUUAUUGCUUUUGGUGCUCGUGGAUAUCAGAGGAGUGGAAGGAUGCAGCCAGAUACAAUCGUGUUGAAAGGUAUGCCAUUGCGAUGGUUUGCAGAGACGAGGGUCUCAUCCAAGCCCUCAAUGCUGGUUACUCACACAAUAUUUUCUGCGCUUGGAAAGAUAAGGAAUCUUCAUGUUGCUGAGGAUAAUAGUAUAGGUGACGAUGCAGAUGAAGGAGACAUUGUUUCUGGUCUUCAUUGUAAGAUUGUAGUGCGGUUUGAGAAGCACAAUGACUUCUGUGACGCCUUGAAGGUUUUGUGUGGUCGCUCAUUGCAAAAGCAAGGAUCACGACUCAGAGCUGAUUAUGACGUGACUUGGGAUAAGGUUGGAUUCUUCCAAGAUGCUAGACAUCAAAUAGAAGAAAGAAAGAGAAUGCCAGCAAGAGGAGUGGAAGAAAGAGAUGAAGUUCAUAGACAUCACUCGAGAGUCUCUCAAUUUAGUUCUGAGGAAGGACGGCGAAAGAGAUUCAAGGAAUAGGGGCAGGACCUUUAUGUUUACCUUUGGAGAAUUCCCCUGAUCUAAGCAGAGACCCGAAGAUGAUAUGUAGUUUUUAAAGGGUCGAGACGUGAUAAAUUAUCUGAUUCUAUUAUGUGGCUCCAUUUUAACAGGAUCCUUGUGUGCUUUGGUUUAGCAAACUGAUAUUUUCACAUUGCAAAACUACGAUCAGUACAAGUACUGAAUUCUCUAAAGCAUGCUUAGUUCCUUAACGAAGCAAAAUAUGUCGUUAUUCUCUGAAUGAAAACGAAGUAUAUUUCAUAAUCUUUUAGUCAUUUUCACUUUAUUGGUA